RNAcentral lists this long non-coding RNA (1056 nucleotides) under Marmota monax (woodchuck). Lineage: Eukaryota; Metazoa; Chordata; Mammalia; Rodentia; Sciuridae. The record is from RNAcentral.
CUCAAGUCAGAAAAAUCUCCUGAGGGUCCUGGGCCAGAGUGGGGAGAUGAGGGAAUUCACCUCACCUCCAACCCCCUCCUCCUUCCCUUGUGGGGCCCCCUUAGGAAGAACCAAAGCUAGCCUAGGAAUGGAGCAGAAAAGGCAGGGACCAUCUCCCAGAGUCAGAGGGAGGUGACUGACACAUCACAAAGGGACCAGGAGGAAGGCUGGGCACCCAGUGCAGCCUCCUUCAGGCAUAGUAGACUGGGCACUUGUGUGGAAGGCAAUCGGUGAGGACAAAGAGGAUCACAUGAUCAAGUCAUGGGACAUGGGGACACACACUUGUAUGGUGUGGUGGAUAUCUGCCUGGCUACUUAGCUCUCCUUCCUUUCAUUCUCAUCCCAUUACACAAAUCCCAUUACACAGUCUCAAACACCACAUCCUGGGGGUCACCACCAGCCUGGCCAUCCAGUUCAGGAAACAUGGAAAUCGAGGAUAGGUCAGUCAUCAUGCUCAUAAUGUCCAGCACCUUUCUCUGUUUCUUGGACUGAUUCAGAUCUGGGGACAACACUGCAAGGGCAGUGAUUCCUCUGUCCUCAUCAGAUGAGGACAGAGCCAACACUGGGAUGGUAUGGUGCCAGAGUGGAGUCACCCAAGGAAGUGCUGCUGCUGCCAGGCUGUACCCCUGGGUGAGCUUCCUUCAGUGCAGGUUGACCCAUCUAGGUGGCUCAAGCCUGCUCCUCCUGGCUCCUCUGCUGAGAUGUCCUGCUGAGUGCUGGCCUCCCUGUCUCCAGGGUCUGCAUCUCCUCGCUUAUCCGAUGAUUCCUCUUCAGUUAGCAUCCCUCUCAGUUUCCCACCCACUUCAGCCCAGACAGCCAGGUGGGGGAAGUCUUGUUCUCUCCUUUAAUGUUUUCCUGGAGCAGUUUCUGCUGAGAGUCCUCAAGGCCUCUUGUCCCUACAGUCAGAGCUAUAGGGACACCCCCACCCACCCCUAUACUCCCUUGGAACAAGAGUCCAAGACAACCGACUGCUUCACUAGGACAGGAGGGAAUCUGAGAGGAGGAAGGGUAAAGACAA